GAACCAAACAAUUACAUCGUCAGAAGAAAACAUCACAAAGCAAUCUAUGGACGUUAUUGAGAGAGCAUGAUACACUACUCAAGUUGAAAAAGCUAGAUGUCAACAAAGUACAAUAUUUCUGGCAAUAAACGCAGGAAUUGACCAAGUGACCAUUUUACACAAACUGUUAUCGGUGGAUAACUUCGCGAGUUUUUAUUGAAUUCACUCAAAUACAUGCUUAAAAUAAUCGCUGUAUGUUCCUUUUUCAAAUAAACUUUGAUUGGAUAAAUUUCGAUACAAUACAAUGGCAAGAACUGCGAAAAACCUCAUUUUUGUAAUACAAUCUACAUAUCUUUUGCCCUGUUGACGCCGCCAUAUUGAAUAAUCAUGAUGGCCCAACGCGCACACAUAUAAUAUGUACGUACCUAUGACUACUACAUCUAUGGUAAAAAUAGAUAUUUUAAUAUGGCGCAAAGCUCAAAUUUAAACACGGUAAACAAUUACAGACUUGCAUUGUCAUGUUAUAUCGCAAGCUAAGCAAAGAAGAUAAAAAAUUGAACAUGCUUUGUAUAUUUUAACUAGUCUGAGGCAACGUAUUUUAAAAUCUCUGUUGUAAAAGCACUUCUACUUUGUUUUGAAAAAUGCAGCAACCCUUA
Molecule: long non-coding RNA, 635 nt
Organism: Xenia sp. Carnegie-2017
Lineage: Eukaryota; Metazoa; Cnidaria; Anthozoa; Malacalcyonacea; Xeniidae
Exons: 2
Source: RefSeq, a predicted model, not a curated record